UGCGUAGGCGGUUUGUUAAGUCAUUUGUAAAAGAUCUCAGCUCAACUGAGUAAGGCGAAUGAAACUGGCAGACUUGAAUACAGUAGAGGUAAGUGGAAUUCCAUGUGUAGCGGUGGAAUGCGUAGAUAUAUGGAGGAACACCAAUGGCGAAGGCAACUUACUGGGCCGGAAUUGACGCUGAGGCACGAAAGCGUGGGGAGCAAACAGGAUUAGAUACCCUGGUAGUCC
RNAcentral lists this ribosomal RNA (228 nucleotides) under uncultured bacterium. RNAcentral describes it as "partial 16S ribosomal RNA". It matches the Rfam family "Bacterial small subunit ribosomal RNA", at positions 568 to 796 of the family's 1533-position model. The record is from RNAcentral.